Penaeus vannamei (Pacific white shrimp) is the source of this 324-nucleotide non-coding RNA. Lineage: Eukaryota; Metazoa; Arthropoda; Malacostraca; Decapoda; Penaeidae. The record is from RefSeq and is a predicted model, not a curated record.
AGAAGAGCCCCUGCAACGGCUUAAUCAACAAAUUAAUUAUGAUGUGGUGACAGAGGCCCAGAAAUGUCUGAGCAAUCUGCUAUACAACAGCUCGGCGAUCCAGCGCAUGUGCUGUGUCAACAGCUGCAUCCCGGGCCUCAUGUGUCGCCUGAAGACCUUCAAAGACCCAGAUCUGCCGCAUCUUGUCAAGUACUUUGAUAUGAGGCUGCUCUUCCUGCUGACGGCUUUCUGUGGAGAUAUUAGACCACGGCUGAGGUCAGAGUACCAUGGGCUGACUUACCUGAUCGAGAUCCUAGACCUGUCACUUAAAACGGCCCAGGAGGA